AUGCUACUUCCCUCCGUGUCAAAAUUCUUGUCUUAGAUUUGUCUAGAUAUAAAUGUAUCUAGUCACGUUUUAGUAUUUUGAUACAUCCAUUUCUAAACAAACUUAAGACAAGAAUUUUGGGACGGAGGGAGUAUUUG
This 137-nucleotide microRNA precursor is filed under the name Hordeum vulgare. RNAcentral's name for it is "microRNA MIR1122". It matches the Rfam family "MIR1120/MIR1122 microRNA precursor family". Lineage: Eukaryota; Viridiplantae; Streptophyta; Magnoliopsida; Poales; Poaceae. The record is from RNAcentral.